UAAGCAUAUCAAUAAGCGGAGGAAAAGAAACCAACAGGGAUUGCCUCAGUAACGGCGAGUGAAGCGGCAACAGCUCAAAUUUGAAAUCUGGCCCCCAGGGCCCGAGUUGUAAUUUGCAGAGGAUGCUUUGGGCGCGGCGCCUUCCGAGUUCCCUGGAACGGGACGCCACAGAGGGUGAGAGCCCCGUCUGGUUGGACGCCUAGCCUGUGUAAAGCUCCCUCGACGAGUCGAGUAGUUUGGGAAUGCUGCUCUAAAUGGGAGGUAUAUGUCUUCUAAAGCUAAAUACCGGCCAGAGACCGAUAGCGCACAAGUAGAGUGAUCGAAAGAUGAAAAGCACUUUGAAAAGAGAGUUAAAAAGUACGUGAAAUUGUUGAAAGGGAAGGGCUCGCGACCAGACUUGGGUCUGGGGAUCACCCGGCGUUCUUCGCCGGGGCACUCCCCCGGCACAGGCCAGCAUCGGUUCGGCCCGGGGGAUAAAGGCGGCGGGAACGUGGCUCUUCGGAGUGUUAUAGCCCGCCGCGCAAUACCCUGGGGCGGACCGAGGACCGCGCAUCUGCAUGGAUGCUGGCGUAAUGGUCGCCAGCCACCCGU
Molecule: ribosomal RNA, 591 nt
Filed under: Niesslia gamsii
Lineage: Eukaryota; Fungi; Ascomycota; Sordariomycetes; Hypocreales; Niessliaceae
Description: eukaryotic LSU rRNA
Rfam family: Eukaryotic large subunit ribosomal RNA
Source: RNAcentral